RNAcentral lists this ribosomal RNA (464 nucleotides) under Escherichia coli. RNAcentral describes it as "bacterial SSU rRNA". It matches the Rfam family "Bacterial small subunit ribosomal RNA", at positions 1 to 459 of the family's 1533-position model. The record is from RNAcentral. Lineage: Bacteria; Pseudomonadati; Pseudomonadota; Gammaproteobacteria; Enterobacterales; Enterobacteriaceae.
UUAAAUUGAAGAGUUUGAUCAUGGCUCAGAUUGAACGCUGGCGGCAGGCCUAACACAUGCAAGUCGAACGGUAACAGGAAGCAGCUUGCUGCUUUGCUGACGAGUGGCGGACGGGUGAGUAAUGUCUGGGAAACUGCCUGAUGGAGGGGGAUAACUACUGGAAACGGUAGCUAAUACCGCAUAACGUCGCAAGACCAAAGAGGGGGACCUUCGGGCCUCUUGCCAUCGGAUGUGCCCAGAUGGGAUUAGCUUGUUGGUGGGGUAACGGCUCACCAAGGCGACGAUCCCUAGCUGGUCUGAGAGGAUGACCAGCCACACUGGAACUGAGACACGGUCCAGACUCCUACGGGAGGCAGCAGUGGGGAAUAUUGCACAAUGGGCGCAAGCCUGAUGCAGCCAUGCCGCGUGUAUGAAGAAGGCCUUCGGGUUGUAAAGUACUUUCAGCGGGGAGGAAGGGAGUAAAG